Molecule: ribosomal RNA, 1199 nt
Filed under: Vibrio campbellii
Lineage: Bacteria; Pseudomonadati; Pseudomonadota; Gammaproteobacteria; Vibrionales; Vibrionaceae
Description: bacterial SSU rRNA
Rfam family: Bacterial small subunit ribosomal RNA
Source: RNAcentral
CGCAAUGCUACGGGCCAGAGGGAACUUCGGGCCUCCUCGCGUCAGAUUAUGCUAGUGGAUUAGCUAGUUGUGAGGUAGGGCUCACCAGCCGACGAUCCCUAGCUGUCUGAGAGGAUGAUCAGCCACCACUGGAACUGAGACACCGGUCCAGACUCCUACGGGAGGCAGCAGUGGGGAAUAUGCACAAUGGGCGCAAGCCUGAUGCAGCCAUGCCGCGUGUGUGAAGAAGGCCUUCGGGUUGUAAAGCACUUUCAGUCGUGAGGAAGGUAGUGUAGUUAAUAGCUGCAUUAUUUGACGUUAGCGACAGAAGAAGCACCGGCUAACUCCGUGCCAGCAGCCGCGGUAAUACGGAGGGUGCGAGCGUUAAUCGGAAUUACUGGGCGUAAAGCGCAUGCAGGUGGUUUGUUAAGUCAGAUGUGAAAGCCCGGGGCUCAACCUCGGAAUUGCAUUUGAAACUGGCAGACUAGAGUACUGUAGAGGGGGGUAGAAUUUCAGGUGUAGCGGUGAAAUGCGUAGAGAUCUGAAGGAAUACCGGUGGCGAAGGCGGCCCCCUGGACAGAACUGACACUCAGAUGCGAAAGCGUGGGGAGCAAACAGGAUUAGAUACCCUGGUAGUCCACGCCGUAAACGAUGUCUACUUGGAGGUUGUGGCCUUGAGCCGUGGCUUUCGGAGCUAACGCGUUAAGUAGACCGCCUGGGGAGUACGGUCGCAAGAUUAAAACUCAAAUGAAUUGACGGGGGCCCGCACAAGCGGUGGAGCAUGUGGUUUAAUUCGAUGCAACGCGAAGAACCUUACCUACUCUUGACAUCCAGAGAACUUUCCAGAGAUGGAUUGGUGCCUUCGGGAACUCUGAGACAGGUGCUGCAUGGCUGUCGUCAGCUCGUGUUGUGAAAUGUUGGGUUAAGUCCCGCAACGAGCGCAACCCUUAUCCUUGUUUGCCAGCGAGUAAUGUCGGGAACUCCAGGGAGACUGCCGGUGAUAAACCGGAGGAAGGUGGGGACGACGUCAAGUCAUCAUGGCCCUUACGAGUAGGGCUACACACGUGCUACAAUGGCGCAUACAGAGGGCAGCCAACUUGCGAGAGUGAGCGAAUCCCAAAAAUGCGUCGUAGUCCGGAUCGGAGUCUGCAACUCAGUCCUCCCACCCCAAACACCCACCCUGCAUGCAGCACCCGUACGCUGACGGACGACCUAACGGG